UGGGGAAUAUUGCACAAUGGGCGCAAGCCUGAUGCAGCCAUGCCGCGUGUGUGAAGAAGGCCUUCGGGUUGUAAAGCACUUUCAGCGAGGAGGAAGGUGGUGAGCUUAAUACGCUCAUCAAUUGACGUUACUCGCAGAAGAAGCACCGGCUAACUCCGUGCCAGCAGCCGCGGUAAUACGAAGGGUGCAAGCGUUAAUCGGAAUUACUGGGCGUAAAGCGCACGCAGGUGGUUUGUUAAGUCAGAUGUGAAAUCCCCGGGCUCAACCUGGGAACUGCAUUUGAAACUGGCAAGCUAGAGUCUCGUAGAGGGGGGUAGAAUUCCAGGUGUAGCGGUGAAAUGCGUAGAGAUCUGGAGGAAUACCGGUGGCGAAGGCGGCCCCCCUGGACGAAGACUGACGCUCGGGUGCGAAAGCGUGGGGCAGCAAACAGGAUUAGAUACCCUGGUAGUCCACGCUGUAAACGAUGUCGAUUUGGAGGUUGUGCCCCUUGAGGCGUGGCUUCCGGAGCUAACGCGUUAAAUCGACCGCCUGGGGAGUACGGCCGCGAGGUUAAAACUCAAAGGAAUUGAC
RNAcentral lists this ribosomal RNA (570 nucleotides) under uncultured bacterium. RNAcentral describes it as "partial 16S ribosomal RNA". It matches the Rfam family "Bacterial small subunit ribosomal RNA", at positions 355 to 914 of the family's 1533-position model. The record is from RNAcentral.